UGUGGUGUAGCUCAGUGGUAGAGUACUUGCUUAAUGUGCGAAAGGCCCUAGGUUUGAUCCCCAAUACCACAU
This is a non-coding RNA of Mus musculus (house mouse), 72 nucleotides long. NCBI's taxonomy places the organism in Eukaryota, Metazoa, Chordata, Mammalia, Rodentia, Muridae. The record is from Rfam.